AGAGUUUGAUCAUGGCUCAGAACGAACGCUGGCGGCGUGGAUAAGACAUGCAAGUCGAACGGGACUUUUUUCUGUAGCAAUACAGGAAAAAGUCUAGUGGCGAACGGGUGCGUAACACGUGAGCAACCUGCCGUGAAGUGGGGGAUAGCUCGCCGAAAGGCGAAUUAAUACCGCAUGUGGCCAAGGAAGACAUCUUCCUGACGCCAAAGCCGGGGCAACCUGGCGCUUCUCGAGGGGCUCGCGGCCUAUCAGCUUGUUGGUGAGGUAACGGCUCACCAAGGCUAUGACGGGUAGCUGGUCUGAGAGGACGACCAGCCACACUGGAACUGAGAUACGGUCCAGACACCUACGGGUGGCAGCAGUCGAGAAUUUUUCACAAUGGGGGAAACCCUGAUGGAGCGACGCCGCGUGGAGGAUGAAGGUUUUCGGAUUGUAAACUCCUGUCAUUAGAGAACAAGGCACACGGUUUAACUGGCCGUGUGUUGAUAGUAUCUGAAGAGGAAGAGACGGCUAACUCUGUGCCAGCAGCCGCGGUAAUACAGAGGUCUCAAGCGUUGUUCGGAUUCAUUGGGCGUAAAGGGUGCGUAGGUGGCGAUGUAAGUCGGGUGUGAAAUCUCCAAGCUUAACUUGGAAACUGCACUCGAUACUGCGUCGCUCGAGGACUGUAGAGGGCAUUGGAAUUCACGGUGUAGCAGUGAAAUGCGUAGAUAUCGUGAGGAAGACCAGUGGCGAAGGCGAAUGCCUGGGCAGUUCCUGACACUGAGGCACGAAGGCCAGGGGAGCAAACGGGAUUAGAUACCCCGGUAGUCCUGGCAGUAAACGGUGCACGUUUGGUGUGGGAGGAUUCGACCCCUUCCGUGCCGGAGCUAACGCGUUAAACGUGCCGCCUGGGGAGUACGGUCGCAAGAUUAAAACUCAAAGAAAUUGACGGGGACCCGCACAAGCGGUGGAGUAUGUGGCUUAAUUCGAUGCAACGCGAAGAACCUUACCAGCCCUUGACAUGGGCAGGACCGGUCCAGAGAUGGACUUUUCCCGCAAGGGACCUGCCG
RNAcentral lists this ribosomal RNA (1049 nucleotides) under uncultured bacterium. RNAcentral describes it as "bacterial SSU rRNA". It matches the Rfam family "Bacterial small subunit ribosomal RNA", at positions 8 to 1034 of the family's 1533-position model. The record is from RNAcentral.